This 497-nucleotide ribosomal RNA is filed under the name uncultured bacterium. RNAcentral describes it as "partial 16S ribosomal RNA". It matches the Rfam family "Bacterial small subunit ribosomal RNA", at positions 28 to 507 of the family's 1533-position model. The record is from RNAcentral.
GAUGAACGCUGGCGGCGUGCCUAAUACAUGCAAGUCGAGCGAACGGACGAGAAGCUUGCUUUUCUGAUGUUAGCGGCGGACGGGUGAGUAACACGUGGAUAACCUACCUAUAAGACUGGGAUAACUUCGGGAAACCGGAGCUAAUACCGGAUAAUAUUUUGAACCGCAUGGUUCAAAAGUGAAAGACGGUCUUGCUGUCACUUAUAGAUGGAUCCGCGCUGCAUUAGCUAGUUGGUAAGGUAACGGCUUACCAAGGCAACGAUGCAUAGCCGACCUGAGAGGGUGAUCGGCCACACUGGAACUGAGACACGGUCCAGACUCCUACGGGAGGCAGCAGUAGGGAAUCUUCCGCAAUGGGCGAAAGCCUCACGGAGCAACGCCGCGUGAGUGAUGAAGGUCUUCGGAUCGUAAAACUCUGUUAUUAGGGAAGAACAUAUGUGUAAGUAACUGUGCACAUCUUGACGGUACCUAAUCGGAAAGCCACGGCUAACUACGUG